Long non-coding RNA from Erpetoichthys calabaricus (reedfish), 2664 nucleotides. RefSeq lists it as uncharacterized. The record is from RefSeq and is a predicted model, not a curated record. Lineage: Eukaryota; Metazoa; Chordata; Cladistia; Polypteriformes; Polypteridae. The transcript has 3 exons.
CCAGUUCCAAGCCUUGUGAGUUUGGAGGGAAAAAUGAUAAACUUUGUGGACAGGCAGUACAAAACUGGAAUUUGCUGAGACUUUUACCUGUGGUAGUAGGUGAUAUAAUAUUAAACUACAGUGAUUCUGUUUGGCAGCUUAUAAUGCAGCUUGGAGAAAUUGUAGCAUUAGUAUGUGUACCACAGAUAUCUACUGCACAGGUUGCAUACUUGGAAGUGAUUAUAAUGGAAUAUCUUGAAAUGAGAAAAGAGUUAUUUCCUGAAAAGCCUCUGAACCCAAAGUACCAUUACUUAAGGCAUUAUGCUGCUUUAAUUCUUAAAUUUGGUCCACUUAUACACUUAUGGACAAUGAGAUUUGAAAGUAAGCAUUCCUAUUUUAAGAGGUGUGCUAGAUGUUUUCAGAAUUUUAAGAACAUUUGUCAAAGCCUUGCUGAACAUCAUCAGCUACUUCAAACCUAUCUUUUUUCUGGGACUUUCUUUUCUGCUGACUUAGAAAUAAGGAAAAGUAUCCCUUUUUGUGCCAAUUUGUACAAUGAAACUAUGCUUAGAGCAUUGGGGGGUUUUGAUUUUGAUGAGACAGAUACAGUUCUGUCAGAGGAGGUGCAAUUUAAAGGUACACUAUACAUAAAUGGGAUUUUUCUUGAUUCUAAAUAAAGGUUCAGAUUUGGAAUUUGGUGAAAUUGAGAUAAUGGUAAUCAAGGAUAGUAAAAACCUGCAUUUUUUUUGUUAGAAAAUAUUAUUCUGCAUUUUUUACCACAUCUUGGUUUGUUUCAGAUAUACCAGGACGCUGAGUGUAUACAGUCUGUACCUUUUGAAUGUCUUGGUGACUUUUAUCCUUUGCCAGCUUACAGAAGUCAUGGAACUUCCAUCAUUUGCCUGAAACACAUGCCAUUAUCAGUUUAAUUUCUAUUUUAAAUCACACGGGGGAUGUACAAUAUAUUGUUUAUACUGUUUGUAAAUAGACUUUUUUUGACAGAUUAGAAAACAUACCUUUCUUUACAGUUACAAAUAUGGAACAGGACAGAAAUUGCACUCAGUUGUAUGCUUUUAUCAGAUCAGUUUUCCCAAAUUUGAACAAUGAAGAUUUGAAAGUUAUUGUAGAGAAGAUUCAGGAUUUGAGAGUAUACCACACAGAAGAUGUCAAGUACAUAAAGGAGGAAGAACUGCUUAGUGUUCUGAAACCAGUUCAAGCACGGAAACUGAUUUCCAGCAAUUUAGUCACAAGUGAAUAUUUUAAUCCCAAUCCCUGUGGUUAUUCACCCCUGUUCCGGGCACAGUCUUGCUCUUUUUUGCAUAUUUCAAUGAAAACGAAAAUGUGAUGUUCUACCAAGUCAGUGACACAUGCUUAGCAAAUGAGGUAUCUGUGUCUGCUCUUCCAGCAUCACCGUGUAUCAUUUUUUGUGGUGAGUAUAUAAGAUGCUGAACUUCUUUUAUAUAUAUUUUCCAACACAAAAUGUUAAAUAUUAAAGUAUUUUGUUCAAUGUUCAUAUUUUUCAGGAGACACUCUGCUGACUGUGAGUUGCUUCAUGUUAAGUGUUGAUAAAAAUGUUGUCAAAGUGAAUAUUCCAGUAUUUUUAGAGGCCUUCGAGAUGAUGUUUGCUGCUUACUACAUUUUCAAUAUUCAGUAUCCAUCUGAUGUAGGAUCAACACUAGAAUUCAUACAAAGGCAAGUUUUAGUAAAACUCUAUAGGUAGCUUAUGCAUUUCAGUUGUUUAAUGGCAUUAUUGAUUACAUAUAUGUGUUUGUAUGUAUGUUUGUAGGUAUGUAAAAGGUGGUCUGAUAUAAUUGAUAUUAUUGUAUGUGGAUGGUCAGUUUUCAGACAUUGACUGUACUGGAAAGUUACAAGCACCUUGUGGUGUGACCGAUGCAGAAGCAAUAUCCAAGAAUUAACAACCGUACUGGUAUCAUGUGUCUCAUUAUAUUUUCACUUUGACUGUAUCUGCCAUUACUUCUGGAUUCCCAAAUAUAAAACAUUACAAUUUUUUUAUGUUCACUUAAACUAUAACUUUAUUUACCUCAGGUGUUUUGCCAACAUCAACCCAGAAAGGCACAAAAGUUUAGCGAAGCAAGUCAAAGAAACAGUAUGCUGUAAACCCAAGAGUGCUCACCUUAAUUUCUGCAACUGCAGAUUUUGAAUGGAGGCAAUGAAAUCAAAAGUAUUAACUGAAAAAGGAAAGUUUUCAUAAUAUUUUAAAUGACCAGAGUAUUAUGAUUAAAACAGAUAUUUUGAGAACAUAUCUGUGGCUUUAUGCACUAUUUACAUGUUGCAAUAUUGCAUGAUUGUUUUAUUUAAUAACAAGUAAGCCUGCGAUUCGCUAGCGAAUCGGAUAUCCAAGAAUGGCAAUCAGUUUCUGUUCUGUCUGAUAUCUGGAUGGAUGACAUAUCAUGGAAGGUGGGUGCGUCUGGGGAAAUGUCAUUUAAUUAUAUAAGCAUAUCUGUAGUGGAGACGUGAUUCCGUUGCCUUUGCUGACACCGACUGCUGGCAUGGUGGAGCACAGCAAGUUCAGUUUACAGGUUGUGGUGUUCGUGUGCCAGCCACUGAGUCUGGAAAGCCGCUGGGUUAGAGUCUGUGACCGUUAUGUGAUCUGUAUUACUGGCACAGUGGAUUAGAGCAAGUGUAGCUCACAGGUUGUGUUGUUUGGGCGCCACCUACUGACUCUGGGAA